Long non-coding RNA from Cololabis saira (Pacific saury), 1489 nucleotides. RefSeq lists it as uncharacterized. NCBI's taxonomy places the organism in Eukaryota, Metazoa, Chordata, Actinopteri, Beloniformes, Belonidae. The transcript is spliced from 3 exons. The record is from RefSeq and is a predicted model, not a curated record.
CCGGUCAGCUCCUCUCCUCGGGCGAGAGAGCGCUCCAACUGUUCUCGUCUCCUCCUCCCCCAGCGGGCAGGGCUCAAGAGGAGCGCAUGGGAGCUCUCGCGCUCUCUUUCUCCCCCCUCCCACCCCCCCCCCCCCUCGUUUGUCCCUUCACGGGGUGAUGAGGGAGCAGCGCUGUUGGCGGUAGAGGAGGUGCGUGGCAGUCCAGGAAGCUCUCAUUCUGCCGCUGUGUGCCGCUCCGCCGCCGCCGCUGCCACCGCCGUCGUCCGGCUCCAACUUGCUCCCGUCGCUCGUGUCAGAGUUGCCUUCCCCUGCCUCCUCCUUCCUCCCCCCUCAUUGAUUCCUCUCUCCGCCUUGCCUCUCGUGGUGCCGCUCCUCCUCGCCGCCGUCGUCGCCGUCGUCCUCGCCGGCCAGGAUCAGCCUAUACCGUCCCCGGUUGGUCCUCGCCGCCGUUCCCUCUGCCUUGCCGGGCCGUGUGUGCCGAGCGAGACCCUGGCAGCCGGAGUGGUGGAAAAUGAAAGCACAAAGCAGCAAAAUGCAUCAGCAUGAAUAUUAGAGAUGUCGUUAAAACCAGGACUCGUUUUUCUCUCGCUCUCUCGCUCACCCCCACACACACAUACACACACACACAUGCUCUCUCUCUCUCUCUCUUUGUAAGGAAGUAGGCCAGCAGAUGGUGCUAGCAGUUAUUACAUUAACUUUUACAACUUAACCCCCAAAGUACUGGAUCUCUCCCAGACCACAGAUUGGGAGAUUCGCAGCUUUUUGCAUCCUCGUGUUGGAUGCUGCACACGAGAUCAUCCAGAAAAGAGAAACCCAUCCCCAAACAGCUGAAAGGAUCCCGGGAAUAUAAACCAAGGACUUUAGGAAACGAGCACCGUGAAGUACCGGAGAGGUUUCUCCACGUCCUCCGCUGAUGGAUCCAAACGCGUCCGCCGAGUCAAGAUCGGGUCACUGUGGUGAAACUGGACGAAAAAAGAAACUCCAGAGGGGAAGCUGGGACGUGUCCAAGACAUACAAGUCUCUCUGGCAGCCGGAGGAGACGUCGGGGGCAGGAGAGGGCCUUUCAGGGAACUCCUGACGCCGCGCUGCCGGGGCCAUGUGCCGCCAGUCGCACAUGGUAUCGGGAAUCACUUAGACACGCAUGGCUGGCCUCCAGCCAGAGACACAGAUGGCGGCCUGGUGUGGAAAAGCGACGGCUGCUCUUUGCGAGUACGAGCAGCAGCAGCAGCAGCAGGGGCAGCAGGGACCGGAUCAACCUGCCCGAGCCGGGCCUUGGAGUUUGGCCUCUACAGCAGAUCACACGCUUGCUCUCCAAGUUAAACAGAUCCAUCGUGGGAUGAUGCCCAACAGGGUACGAUACCUGGGCCCCGAGUUGACAGCACAAGCAUCCCCAGCACAACAGGUUUCCACUAAUAAAAGGAAACUGAUUCUCUGCAAAAACAAAAAACACCCAAUCCUCCAAUAGUCAUUUCUGAAACGUCACCACCAA